RNAcentral lists this non-coding RNA (29 nucleotides) under Rattus norvegicus (Norway rat). Lineage: Eukaryota; Metazoa; Chordata; Mammalia; Rodentia; Muridae. The record is from RNAcentral.
UGUGAUUCUGGCCUUUGGACAGUUGUGGU